ACAACAUCAGAACCGUCGGUCUACCGAGCAAUAUCACCCGCUCGGUGGAAGAUCUUUCCUUUCGUCGU
RNAcentral lists this microRNA precursor (68 nucleotides) under Bombyx mori (domestic silkworm). RNAcentral describes it as "mir-2774 microRNA precursor family". It matches the Rfam family "mir-2774 microRNA precursor family". Lineage: Eukaryota; Metazoa; Arthropoda; Insecta; Lepidoptera; Bombycidae. The record is from Rfam by way of RNAcentral.